Molecule: ribosomal RNA, 253 nt
Filed under: uncultured bacterium
Lineage: Bacteria
Description: partial 16S ribosomal RNA
Rfam family: Bacterial small subunit ribosomal RNA
Source: RNAcentral
UACGUAGGGUGCGAGCGUUGUCCGGAAUUACUGGGCGUAAAGCGUGCGCAGGCGGUUUUGUAAGCCAGAUGUGAAAUCCCCGGGCUUAACCUGGGAAUGGCAUUUGGGACUGCAAGGCUUGAGUGUGGCAGAGGAGACUGGAAUUCCUGGUGUAGCAGUGAAAUGCGUAGAUAUCAGGAGGAACACCGAUGGCGAAGGCAGGUCUCUGGGCUAACACUGACGCUCAUGCACGAAAGCGUGGGGAGCAAACAGG